AUUGAACGCUAGCGGGAUGCUUUACACAUGCAAGUCGAACGGCAGCGCGGACUUCGGUCUGGCGGCGAGUGGCGAACGGGUGAGUAAUGUAUCGGAACGUGCCCAGUAGCGGGGGAUAACUACGCGAAAGCGUAGCUAAUACCGCAUACGCCCUACGGGGGAAAGCAGGGGAUCGUAAGACCUUGCACUAUUGGAGCGGCCGAUAUCGGAUUAGCUAGUUGGUGAGGUAACGGCUCACCAAGGCGACGAGCCGUAGCUGGUUUGAGGGGAGGACCAGCCACACUGGGACUGAGACACGGCCCAGACUCCUACGGGAGGCAGCAGUGGGGAAUUUUGGACAAUGGGGGCAACCCUGAUCCAGCCAUCCCGCGUGUGCGAUGAAGGCCUUCGGGUUGUAAAGCACUUUUGGCAGGAAAGAAACGUCGCGGGCUAAUACCCCGUGGAACUGACGGUACCUGCAGAAUAAGCACCGGCUAACUACGUG
Molecule: ribosomal RNA, 484 nt
Filed under: uncultured bacterium
Lineage: Bacteria
Description: partial 16S ribosomal RNA
Rfam family: Bacterial small subunit ribosomal RNA
Source: RNAcentral